Molecule: ribosomal RNA, 253 nt
Filed under: uncultured bacterium
Lineage: Bacteria
Also listed under: 2 other names
Description: partial 16S ribosomal RNA
Rfam family: Bacterial small subunit ribosomal RNA
Source: RNAcentral
UACGAAGGGGGCUAGCGUUGUUCGGAAUUACUGGGCGUAAAGCGUGCGCAGGCGGCUUCUCAAGUCAGGGGUGAAAGCCCAGAGCUCAACUCUGGAAUUGCCUUUGAGACUGAGUGGCUUGAGUACGAGAGAGGUGAGUGGAAUUCCCAGUGUAGAGGUGAAAUUCGUAGAUAUUGGGAAGAACACCGGUGGCGAAGGCGGCUCACUGGCUCGUAACUGACGCUCAUGCACGACAGCGUGGGGAUCAAACAGG